UACGAAGGGGGCUAGCGUUGUUCGGAAUUACUGGGCGUAAAGCGCACGUAGGCGGCAUGUUAAGUCAGGGGUGAAAUCCCGGGGCUCAACCCCGGAACUGCCUUUGAUACUGGCAUUCUCGAGUCCGGAAGAGGUGAGUGGAAUUCCGAGUGUAGAGGUGAAAUUCGUAGAUAUUCGGAGGAACACCAGUGGCGAAGGCGGCUCACUGGACCGGUACUGACGCUGAGGUGCGAAAGCGUGGGGAGCAAACAGG
RNAcentral lists this ribosomal RNA (253 nucleotides) under uncultured bacterium. RNAcentral describes it as "partial 16S ribosomal RNA". It matches the Rfam family "Bacterial small subunit ribosomal RNA", at positions 524 to 776 of the family's 1533-position model. The record is from RNAcentral.